Molecule: ribosomal RNA, 301 nt
Filed under: uncultured bacterium
Lineage: Bacteria
Description: partial 16S ribosomal RNA
Rfam family: Bacterial small subunit ribosomal RNA
Source: RNAcentral
CAGCAGCCGCGGGAAUACGUAGGGUGCGAGCGUUAAUCGGAAUUACUGGGCGUAAAGCGUGCGCAGGCGGUUCGUUAAGACAGAUGUGAAAUCCCCGGGCUUAACCUGGGAACUGCAUUUGUGACUGGCGAGCUAGAGUAUGGCAGAGGGGGGUAGAAUUCCACGUGUAGCAGUGAAAUGCGUAGAGAUGUGGAGGAAUACCGAUGGCGAAGGCAGCCCCCAGGGCCAAUACUGACGCUCAUGCACGAAAGCGUGGGGAGCAAACAGGAUUAGAGACCCGCGUAGUCCCUGUCUCUUAUAC